Molecule: small RNA, 29 nt
Filed under: Bombyx mori (domestic silkworm)
Lineage: Eukaryota; Metazoa; Arthropoda; Insecta; Lepidoptera; Bombycidae
Description: ovarian small RNA-6926
Source: RNAcentral
UCACUGAUGACGCAUUUCCCUUCAGGGAC